GACGAACGCGGCGGCGUGCUUAACACUGCAAGUCGAACGGGUCUGCCUUGUUUUUUGCGGGGUGGGUUAGUGGCGAACGGGUGAGUAACACGUGAGUAACCUGCCCCCUCACUUCUGGAUAACCGCUUGAAAGGGUGGCUAAUACGGGGUGUUCUGGCUGUGCCGCAUGGUGUGGCUGGGAAAGAUUCACUUUUGUGGUGUUUUGGUGGGGGAUGGGCUCGCGGCCUAUCAGCUUGUUGGUGGGGUGAUGGCCUGCCAAGGCUUUGACGGGUAGCCGGCCUGAGAGGGUGGGCGGUCACACUGGGACUGAGAUACGGCCCAGACUCCUGCGGGAGGCAGCAGUGGGGGGUAUUGCACAAUGGGCGGAAGCCUGAUGCAGCGACGUCGCGUGAGGGAUGGAGGCCUUCGGGUUGUGAACCUCUUUCGCCGGUGAAGAAGGUCCUGCUCUUUGUGGUGGGGCUGACGGUAGCCGGGUUAUGAAGCGCCGGCUAACUACGUGCCAGCAGCCGCGGUAAUACGUAGGGCGCGAGCGUUGUCCGGAAUUAUUGGGCGUAAAGGGCUUGUAGGCGGCUGGUCGCGUCUGCCGUGAAAUCCUCUGGCUCAGCUGGGGGCGUGCGGUGGGUACGGGCUGGCUUGAGUGCGGUAGGGGAGGCUGGAACUCCUGGUGUAGCGGUGGAAUGCGCGGAUAUCAGGAGGAACACCGGUGGCGAAGGCGGGUCUCUGGGCCGUUACUGACGCUGAGGAGCGAAAGCGUGGGGAGCGAACAGG
RNAcentral lists this ribosomal RNA (768 nucleotides) under uncultured Actinomyces sp. RNAcentral describes it as "bacterial SSU rRNA". It matches the Rfam family "Bacterial small subunit ribosomal RNA", at positions 28 to 776 of the family's 1533-position model. Lineage: Bacteria; Bacillati; Actinomycetota; Actinomycetes; Actinomycetales; Actinomycetaceae. The record is from RNAcentral.